GACGAACCACACGAACGUUAUUCGGAAUCACUGGGCUUAAAGGGUGCGUAGGCGGCGCGGAAAGUAGGGUGUGAAAUCCCUCGGCUUAACCGAGGAAUAGCGCUCUAAACUACCGUGCUCGAGGGAGAUAGAGGUGAGCGGAACUUAGGGUGGAGCGGUGAAAUGCGUAGAGAUCGGAAGGAACGCCGGUGGCGAAAGCGACACGCUGGACCUCUUCUGACGCUGAGGCGCGAAAGCCAGGGGAGCAAACGGG
This 253-nucleotide ribosomal RNA is filed under the name uncultured bacterium. RNAcentral describes it as "partial 16S ribosomal RNA". It matches the Rfam family "Bacterial small subunit ribosomal RNA", at positions 524 to 776 of the family's 1533-position model. The record is from RNAcentral.